AUGAGUGCCUGGCCCUCUCCUCUGCUUUGGAGCUUCACCACGGCGUGUUUAACAGGUAUUGCUUUAGGCCAGACAACCACUACCUGGCCCCCUGUUGCAUCAACACCAGUGCCUCCUAGUGCAGCCACCACCCAGGUCCCUGUUGCAUCAACCCCAGCACCUCCCAGUACAAUCACCACCCAGGUCCCCAUUGCAUCAACCCCAGUGCCUCCCAGUGCAGCCAGUACUGCGGCCUCUACGCCUCAAACUGCCUCUACAGUGCUCUCGGCUGGAGUGACAUCAACCACUGCAAACCUUGUUGUGUCCACGGCAGUGCCUUCUGCUGAUCCAAGCACAAACGAGUCAGCUCAGACUCUGCCCACCACCACAGAUAUGACCGUCCUCACCUCUGGCAGCAUGGCCACCUCUCAAGUGUCUACAGGACUAAUGACCACGUCCACCAGCACCCCAGCAUCCCCUCCAGGUGUGACCACAACUCCUGGGGUCCCAUCAGCAGUUCCGUUCCUCACCACCACGAGGCCCUCAAACUGCAGCCGAGUGAACGUGACAUCCUGUGCCAGCUGCUCCCCAGGGACAUUUCCCAAUGAAGGCACCUUGAGCUGCUCGUGCUGUGCUGGGGGCUCGUGCACAGACCCUGGUGCCUGCACCUCCUGCCCGCUGGGCCACUACCAGCCCGAAAGUGGGCAACUGUCAUGCCUGCCUUGUCCACAGGGACAUUAUGCCAACUUCACAAGGAGCACCGCAUGCCUUCCCUGCCCACCCGGUAAUUACGCUAAUGAGUCUGGGGCUGCAGCCUGCAGAGCAUGUGAGAAAGGGUAUUUUAGCUCCAAGCAAAAUGCAUCUUUUUGUCUGCCUUGCCCGUCUGGAUCAUUUUGCAAGUAAGAAGUCCUCGUGUGACCUUGGCUGUCAGGGGGUGAGGGAGGCAGGGAGGGUUGGUUUAUUUCUGGUAGCAACCACUGAGAUAAAAGACCCAAUGUAGUGG
RNAcentral lists this long non-coding RNA (982 nucleotides) under Calidris pugnax (ruff). RNAcentral describes it as "lncRNA (ENSCPUG00000007576.1)". The record is from RNAcentral. Lineage: Eukaryota; Metazoa; Chordata; Aves; Charadriiformes; Scolopacidae.